AGUGAGCGCUGGCGGUAGGCCUAACACAUGCAAGUCGAACGGCAGCACAGUAAGAGCUUGCUCUUACGGGUGGCGAGUGGCGGACGGGUGAGGAAUACAUCGGAAUCUACUUUUUCGUGGGGGAUAACGUAGGGAAACUUACGCUAAUACCGCAUACGACCUACGGGUGAAAGCAGGGGAUCUUCGGACCUUGCGCGAUUGAAUGAGCCGAUGUCGGAUUAGCUAGUUGGCGGGGUAAAGGCCCACCAAGGCGACGAUCCGUAGCUGGUCUGAGAGGAUGAGCAGCCACACUGGAACUGAGACACGGUCCAGACUCCUACGGAAGGCAGCAGUGGGGAAUAUUGGACAAUGGGCGCAAGCCUGAUCCAGCCAUACCGCGUGGGUGAAGAAGGCCUUCGGGUUGUAAAGCCCUUUUGUUGGGAAAGAAAAGCAGCAGGUUAAUACCCCGCUGUUCUGACGGUACCCAAAGAAUAAGCACCGGCUAACUUCGUG
RNAcentral lists this ribosomal RNA (492 nucleotides) under uncultured bacterium. RNAcentral describes it as "partial 16S ribosomal RNA". It matches the Rfam family "Bacterial small subunit ribosomal RNA", at positions 29 to 507 of the family's 1533-position model. The record is from RNAcentral.